This is a ribosomal RNA of Nomascus leucogenys (northern white-cheeked gibbon), 121 nucleotides long. The record is from Ensembl. NCBI's taxonomy places the organism in Eukaryota, Metazoa, Chordata, Mammalia, Primates, Hylobatidae.
AUCUAUGGCCAUACCACCAUGAACGUGCCCAAUCUCAUCUGAUCUCCGACGCCAAGCAGGGUCGGGCCUGAUUAGUAUUUGAAUGGGAGUUCUUGUUCCAUGUCCAGCUAUGCUAAAGUUG